AUACGGAGGAUGCAAGCGUUAUCCGGAUUUAUUGGGUUUAAAGGGUGCGUAGGCUGUUCGGAAAGUCAGGGGUGAAAGCCCGGCGCCUAACGCCGGAACUGCCUUUGAUACUUCCGAGCUGGAAUACGGAUGCCGUGGGAGGAAUGAGUAGUGUAGCGGUGAAAUGCAUAGAUAUUACUCAGAACACCGAUUGCGAAGGCAUCUCACGAAUCCGUCAUUGACGCUGAGGCACGAAAGCGUGGGGAUCAAACAGGAUUAGAUACCCGGGUAGUCCACGCAGUAAACGAUGAUGACUAACCGUCGGCGAUACACAGUCGGUGGCCAAGCGAAAGCGAUAAGUGAUCCACCUGGGGAGUACGUUCGCAAGAAUGAAACUCAAAUGAAUUGACGGGG
Molecule: ribosomal RNA, 393 nt
Filed under: uncultured bacterium
Lineage: Bacteria
Description: partial 16S ribosomal RNA
Rfam family: Bacterial small subunit ribosomal RNA
Source: RNAcentral